RNAcentral lists this ribosomal RNA (468 nucleotides) under uncultured bacterium. RNAcentral's name for it is "partial 16S ribosomal RNA". It matches the Rfam family "Bacterial small subunit ribosomal RNA", at positions 28 to 507 of the family's 1533-position model. The record is from RNAcentral.
GACGAACGCUGGCGGCGUGCUUAACACAUGCAAGUCGAACGGAAAGGCCCUGCUUUUGUGGGGUGCUCGAGUGGCGAAAGGGUGAGUAACACGUGAGUAACCUGCCCUUGACUUUGGGAUAACUUCAGGAAACUGGGGCUAAUACCGGAUAGGAGCUCCUGCUGCAUGGUGGGGGUUGGAAAGUUUCGGCGGUUGGGGAUGGACUCGCGGCUUAUCAGCUUGUUGGUGGGGUAGUGGCUUACCAAGGCUUUGACGGGUAGCCGGCCUGAGAGGGUGACCGGCCACAUUGGGACUGAGAUACCGCCCAGACGCCUACGGGAGGCAGGAGUGGGGAAUAGUGCACAAUGGGCGGAAGCCUGAUGCAGCAACGCCGCGUGCGGGAUGACGGCCUUCGGGUUGUAAACCGCUUGCGCCUGUGACGAAGCGUGAGUGACGGUAAUGGGUAAAGAAGCACCGGCUAACUACGUG